Long non-coding RNA from Penaeus chinensis, 418 nucleotides. RefSeq lists it as uncharacterized. The transcript is spliced from 3 exons. Lineage: Eukaryota; Metazoa; Arthropoda; Malacostraca; Decapoda; Penaeidae. The record is from RefSeq and is a predicted model, not a curated record.
GCGACGCAUCAUUCUAGACUGGAGAGCCUUCGGCAGACAAAGCAGCAUAUCAAGAGGUUCCUUGUCAUCAUGUUUAAUAGGAAAAGUCUUUAACCAAUGCGUACUCCCAGUUAAGACAUAUGGAUCAGAAACAUAGACUACGACUUAAUUAUUGGAGAAGAAACUGGUUUCACGUCACACAAGUGAAGCGACCCAGUUUUCCCACGCAAACUUCCAUCGGCCGCUCGAGAAUCUACUUUCCCUUCUGAGCAAGUUGUAAGGUUCACCGUGGUGAUAGUCCACCAGGAAGCCGCACGGCGACUUUCAUUUGUCUGCAAUCACCCCGCCACUUUCUCCGUGGAGCAACAGCAAAAGCACGUCUGCCAACCUUUUUCUUUAGACAAGCUGUAUAAAGGAGAAGUAAAGCUAUAUACUGAAA